GAUGAACGCUGGCGGCGUGCCUAAUACAUGCAAGUCGAGCGAACAGACGAGGAGCUUGCUCCUCCGACGUUAGCGGCGGAAGGGUGAGUAACACGUGGAUAACCUACCUAUAAGACUGGGAUAAAUUCGGGAAACCGGAGCUAAUACCGGAUAAUAUAUUGAACCGCAUGGUUCAAUAGUGAAAGACGGUUUUGCUGUCACUUAUAGAUGGAUCCGCGCCGCAUUAGCUAGUUGGUAAGGUAACGGAUUACCAAGGCAACGAUGCGUAGCCGACCUGAGAGGGUGAUCGGCCACACUGGAACUGAGACACGGUCCAGACUCCUACGGGAGGCAGCAGUAGGGAAUCUUCCGCAAGGGGCGAAAGACUGACGGAGCAACGCCGCGUGAGUGAUGAAGGUCUUCGGAUCGUAAAACUCUGUUAUUAGGGAAGAACAAAUGUGUAAGUAACUAUGCACGUCUUGACGGUACCUAAUCAGAAAGCCACGGCUAACUACG
Molecule: ribosomal RNA, 495 nt
Filed under: uncultured bacterium
Lineage: Bacteria
Description: partial 16S ribosomal RNA
Rfam family: Bacterial small subunit ribosomal RNA
Source: RNAcentral